UACGUAGGGUGCGAGCGUUGUCCGGAAUUACUGGGCGUAAAGAGCUCGUAGGUGGUUUGUCGCGUUGUCCGUGAAAACUCACAACUCAAUUGUGGGCGUGCGGGCGAUACGGGCAGACUGGAGUACUGCAGGGGAGACUGGAAUUCCUGGUGUAGCGGUGAAAUGCGUUGAGAUCGUGAGGAACGCCCGCGGCGAAAGCGCGUCCCUGGACCCCACCUGACGCUGAGACGCGAAAGCCAGGGGAGCGAACGGG
This 253-nucleotide ribosomal RNA is filed under the name uncultured bacterium. RNAcentral describes it as "partial 16S ribosomal RNA". It matches the Rfam family "Bacterial small subunit ribosomal RNA", at positions 524 to 776 of the family's 1533-position model. The record is from RNAcentral.